This 441-nucleotide ribosomal RNA is filed under the name uncultured bacterium. RNAcentral's name for it is "partial 16S ribosomal RNA". It matches the Rfam family "Bacterial small subunit ribosomal RNA", at positions 338 to 795 of the family's 1533-position model. The record is from RNAcentral.
CCUACGGGUGGCAGCAGUGGGGAAUAUUGCACAAUGUGGGAAACCCUGAUGCAGCGACGCCGCGGGAGUGAAGAAGUAGUUCGGUAUGUAAAGCUCGAUCAGCAGGGAAGAAGAAAGACGGUACCUGACUAAGAAGCACCGGCUAACUACGUGCCAGCAGCCGCGGUAAUAAGUAGGGGGCAAGCGUUAUCCGGAUUGACUGGGUGUAAAGGGAGCGUAGACGGCUGUGCAAGUCUGAAGUGAAAGCCCAGGGCUCAACCCUGGGACUGCUUUGGAAACUGGGGAUCUAGAGUGCUGGAGAGGUAAGUGGAAUUCCUAGUGUAGCGGUGAAAUGCGUAGAUAUUAGGAAGAACACCGGUGGCGAAGGCAGCUUACUGAACAGUAACGGACGUUGAGGCUCGAAAGCGUGGGGAGCAAACAGGAUUAGAUACCCUUGUAGUC